UACGUAGGUGGCAAGCGUUGUCCGGAAUUACUGGGUGUAAAGGGAGUGUAGGCGGGACUUUAAGUCAGAUGUGAAAUGUAUGGGCUCAACCCAUGAACUGCAUUUGAAACUGAAGUUCUUGAGUGAAGUAGAGGCAAGCGGAAUUCCUAGUGUAGCGGUGAAAUGCGUAGAUAUUAGGAGGAACACCAGUGGCGAAGGCGGCUUGCUGGGCUUUUACUGACGCUGAGGCUCGAAAGCGUGGGGAGCAAACAGGAUUAGAUACCCUGGUAGUCCACGCUGUAAACGAUGAUUACUAGGUGUGGGGGGAUUGACCCCUUCCGUGCCGGAGUUAACACAAUAAGUAAUCCACCUGGGGAGUACGACCGCAAGGUUGAA
Molecule: ribosomal RNA, 375 nt
Filed under: uncultured bacterium
Lineage: Bacteria
Description: bacterial SSU rRNA
Rfam family: Bacterial small subunit ribosomal RNA
Source: RNAcentral